RNAcentral lists this ribosomal RNA (253 nucleotides) under uncultured bacterium. Its description in RNAcentral is "partial 16S ribosomal RNA". It matches the Rfam family "Bacterial small subunit ribosomal RNA", at positions 524 to 776 of the family's 1533-position model. The record is from RNAcentral.
UACGUAGGGUGCGAGCGUUGUCCGGAAUCACUGGGCGUAAAGGGCGCGUAGGUGGCCUGGUAAGUAGGGGGUGAAAUCUCGAGGCUCAACUUCGAGGCUGCCUCCUAAACUGUCAGGCUCGAGCAGAGUAGAGGCAGGUGGAAUUCCCGGUGUAGCGGUGGAAUGCGUAGAGAUCGGGAGGAACACCAGUGGCGAAGGCGACUACCUGGCCUGUUCUUGACGCUGAGGCGCGAAAGCUAGGGGAGCAAACGGG